AAAAAAAAAGCUUAUAAUAAAAACUUAGAUAUUUUAAAUUAUUAAGAAGGGUAAAAAAAUUAAUUUAAAUUUUUAAUAAGUAAAAUUAUUAUAUAUUUAAUAAUAUAUAAAAAAAAACAUAAAAUUAAAAAUUCCCGAAUAGGUUAACCUUAAAUGAAAUUUAUUAAUAUAUAUAAUAUAUAAAAUUUUAAAAACUUGUUUAAUUGAAAUAUCUUAAUAUACAAAGAAAAAAAAAAACAAAAGUGAUUUCUUUAGUAAUGAUGAAUAAAAAAGAAAAAAGUCUAAAAUAUAAAUAUAUUUAUUUUUAAUAAAUAAAAUAUACUAUAAUAAAAGGAAUAAUAUAUAAAUAUUUUUAUUUUAUAAAUAAAAAAAAUAAUAAAAUAUUAUACCUAAGAUGGUUUUUAGUCCAAUUAUUAAUAUAUAAAAUAUAAAAAAAAUUCAUAUAUAAUAAAUGAUAUAUUUUAUAUUUAAUUUUUAAAUAAAUAUAAAAUAUAUCAUUUUUUUAAUCCUAAAUAAUAUAAUAAUAUUAAAUAUAUUGUAUUAAUAUAUCGAAGACCACUUCGUAAGACUAAAUAUUAAAAAAUAAUCUAUAGUAUAUAUAAAAGUACCGUGAGGGAAAGUUGAAAUAAAAAAAUAUAAGUGAAAAAUUUAAAAUUAUAAGUUAAUAAAUUAUAGAAAAUUUUAUUAUUAAAAAAAAAUUAACUAUGUGCCUGUUGAAGAAUGAACUGUCGACUUAUAAAUAUUGGCUAAAAUAAAUAUAUAUAUAUUAUUUAUUAUAUUUAGAUUAAAUAUAUAAAAUAUAUGAAAUCAUAGUGAAAACAAUUAUUAAAAAUAAAAUUAUUAUUAAUAUAGUAUAGUAUCAUUAUUAUAUUAUAUAAUAUUCAUCGGUCAAUAUUUAUAAACCCGAAUCUAAGUGAUCUAUUUAUAAUCAAGAUGCAAUUUAAUUAAAAUUAAAUGAAAGUCUGAACUGAUUAAUAAUAUAAAAUUAUCAGAUGAAUUAUAAUUAGAAAGGUGAAAUGCUAUUCGAACUUAGAAAUAGCUGGUUCUCCUCGAAAUGUAUUUAAGUACAGCAAUUUAAUUUUAUAUUUUAGGGAUAUUUAUUUUUUUAUAAUUAAAUUUAAAAAUUUAUUAAAUACUAAAAAUUAAAAUAAAUAAAUUAGUGAGACAUAAUUAGGGGUAAGCUUAAAUGUCAAAAGGGAUACAGCCCUUAUUAUUAAUUAAGGUCCUUAAAAAAUAAAUUAGUGAUAUAGAUAAAAAAUAAAGAUGUAAAAAUAUAUAAAUAAUUAGAAGGUUUGAUUAGAAGCAUCUAUCCUUUAAAAAAUGCGUAAAAGCUUACUAAUUUAAUAUUUUUGUACUAAAAAUAUUAAAAGGACUAAUUUAUUUACCGAAAUUUUAAAAUUUUUAAAUAAAAUUGGUAGAGGAGCGUUUUGUAAAAAAAAAAUUAACAAAAAUGAAAAUGUCAGUUUAAAUAAUAAAAUAUUAGUUUAUAAUAAAAAUCUAAUAUCCUAAAAAUCUAAGGUUUAAAAAAAAAAUUUUAGUCAAGACUUAAGAUUUAUUCAAAAUUGAAUAAUCGAUAGAUAAUAGUUAAAAAAUUUCUAUACUAUUUAUUUUUAUAAAAAUUUAUUUAAAAAUUUUUAAAAUAAUAUUUUUAAAUAAAGAAGAAGGUUUUUUUAAUUAAAUAUUAUAAAUAAUAUUUAAUAAAAAAGUAUAAAUUAAUUUAAUAAAAAGAAAAUAAAAUUUUCUAAUUAAUACUUUGAAUUUUUUUAUAUAAAAAAUAUAUCAUACUUCCUGGAAAAAAAUAAUAUUAUUUUUUUAAUAAAAUAAAUACUUGUACCAAAACCAAUACAGGUAGAUAAAUCGAAAAUAUUAAAGGAAUCAAAUUAAAUUUUUUUAAGGAACUAGGCAAAAUAAUCCUGUAACUUAGGGAUAAAGGAUAUCUUAAAUUUUAUUUAUAUUUUAAGAUUACAAUAAAUAUAUCCUAACGACUGUUUAACAAAAACACAAGUUUUCGUUAAAUCAUAAGAUUAUACAUGAAAGCUGACGCCUGCCCAGUGCUAUAUAUAUAAAAAUAUAUAAGUUUUAAUUGAUAACAAUUUUAUAGCUAAAAAUCUAAAUUAUAGUAAACGGCGGCUGUAACUAUAACGGUCCUAAGGUAGCAAAAUUCUUUGUCGGGUAAGUUCCGACCUGCAUAAAAGGCGUAACGAUUGGGAUACUGUCUUAAAAAAAUAUUUGAUAAAAUAAAAAUGUUUGUAAAGAUGCAAACUACUUAUACUUAGACAAAAAGACCCUAUGAAACUUUACUGUUAUUUAAUAUUGAAUAAAAAAUAUUUUUAUAGUUAUUAAUAUAAUAAAAAAUAAUUAAGUGGGAUGAAAAAAUUAAUAUUUUCAAAAAUUGUAAAACCACUAAAAAAUAAAUUUAUUCUAAUUUAUUUUUAUUUAAAAUAUAAAGAAAUUUUUAGAUAGACAGUUUAUAUGGGGCGUAUACCUCCCAAAAAGUAACAGAGGUGCACAUUUUUAUGUAAAUUAAAAAAAAGAUUUUUUAUAAUUAAAAAAUAAAAUUUUAUUAAUUUUUGUAAUGUAAAGAUAUAAAAAAAUUUGAUUGUAAGACAUAUAUGUUUAACAAGGAUUAAAAUCGGUCUUAGUGAUCCAACAAAAAAAUUCUUAGUGGAAAGUUUGUUGAUUAACAAAUAAAAGUUACUCUAGGGAUAACAGGCUUAUCUUUCUUAAAAGUUCAUAUUAAUAGAAAGGUUUGGCACCUCGAUGUCGGCUCUUCGCUUCCUGAAAUAGUAAUAUAUUUCAAAGGUUGGGUUGUUCGCCCAUUAAAGCGGUACGUGAGCUGGGUUCAGAACGUCGUGAGACAGUUCGUUUUAUAUCUAGUAUAAGCGUUAGAAUAUUGAAAAGAUUUUUUUAUAGUACGAAAGGACCUAAAAAAAUACAUCACUGAUAUAUCAGUUAUUAAUACGAUAAGUAAUUGCUGAAUAGUUAAAUGUAAAAUUAUUAAUUACUGAAAAAAUAUUAAGUAAUAAAAAUACUUUAAGAUGAAUAUUCUUUU
Molecule: ribosomal RNA, 3052 nt
Filed under: Balanophora reflexa
Lineage: Eukaryota; Viridiplantae; Streptophyta; Magnoliopsida; Santalales; Balanophoraceae
Description: 23S ribosomal RNA
Rfam family: Bacterial large subunit ribosomal RNA
Source: RNAcentral